AUACAAUCAAUUGUCAACAGUUAUAAUCAGCCUCAUUAAUGCCUUGACCAUGAAAUAACUUCAGCCCAAAGUCACUUGAGUUAAUAUUUAAUUGGUGGAUGUUCGGUUAAUGUAGACCAGCACCUGAAUAAGUAUUCAGAAAUCUACUUCCUGGAAUUCUUAAACAAAUAUUUCACCAAGGAAACUCUGAUGUAAGGCCUUACCCAUCUGAGACAUGUCAACACUGAUCUGAAAGCUAAAACAUGGCUGGAAAGAGGCAGAAUGUGUAGAUUAACAAUACUGCAGCAUUUGAGGAAGAAAGCAGGUGCUGGAGUCAUCCUAUACCUUAAGAUGGCUUAUGGAAACUCA
RNAcentral lists this long non-coding RNA (348 nucleotides) under Chrysemys picta bellii (western painted turtle). Its description in RNAcentral is "lncRNA (ENSCPBG00000015025.1)". The record is from RNAcentral. Lineage: Eukaryota; Metazoa; Chordata; Testudines; Emydidae.